Molecule: long non-coding RNA, 88 nt
Organism: Dipodomys spectabilis (banner-tailed kangaroo rat)
Lineage: Eukaryota; Metazoa; Chordata; Mammalia; Rodentia; Heteromyidae
Exons: 3
Source: RefSeq, a predicted model, not a curated record
UUAGCUCGCCAAGAAAAAGUUUCUUUCCUUUUUUUAUUUACAGAAAGUUUACAUAUGAACUCUAAAAGUUGCAAAUGAUAGAAGUUUA